RNAcentral lists this long non-coding RNA (220 nucleotides) under Dasypus novemcinctus (nine-banded armadillo). RNAcentral's name for it is "lncRNA (ENSDNOG00000050558.1)". The record is from RNAcentral. Lineage: Eukaryota; Metazoa; Chordata; Mammalia; Cingulata; Dasypodidae.
CAGAACCGGCAUGAGGAAGAAGGGCCUGUGAAAGGCUGUGGGAAUGUGUAAGGUGUACACAUAAAUAGUCAUCAUGGAUUCGGCAGUGCUUAAAGAGCUACCUCCUCAACAAGCCCAGAGUCUGCUUGGAAGAAUAGUAAAAAUAGUAGCAGGGCUGUUUCUGGAAGACUGCCCAUAAUUCAGAGGGAGGAUAGAGAGGAAGAAUAUAUUUGGAGGCAAG